Molecule: non-coding RNA, 91 nt
Organism: Mycena epipterygia
Lineage: Eukaryota; Fungi; Basidiomycota; Agaricomycetes; Agaricales; Mycenaceae
Source: the annotation of a GenBank genome assembly
GGCUCGGUAGUGGAUGGUUCACAUCUGUAUUGAAUUCAAAGGCCCGAAAAAAAUCGAGUAGAAGCCGCCCGUUCGAUUCGGGCCUGAGCCA